RNAcentral lists this ribosomal RNA (490 nucleotides) under uncultured bacterium. RNAcentral describes it as "bacterial SSU rRNA". It matches the Rfam family "Bacterial small subunit ribosomal RNA", at positions 28 to 509 of the family's 1533-position model. The record is from RNAcentral.
GACGAACGCUGGCGGCGUGGAUUAGGCAUGCAAGUCGAACGGUAUCAUCCUUUCGGGGGUGAGAGAGUGGCGAACUGGUGAGUAACACGUAGGUGAUCUACCCUCAAGAUUGGGACAACCCAGGGAAACUUGGGCUAAUACCGGAUGAAAGCAGCAGUGAUGUUGUUUGAAAGGUGGCGUAAGCUGCCGUUUGGGGAUGAGCCUGCGCUCUAUUAGUUAGUUGGCGGGGUAAAGGCCCACCAAGGCGAUGAUAGAUAGGCGGCCUUAACGGGUGGUCGCCCACACUGGGAUUGAGAUACGGCCCAGACUCCUACGGGAGGCAGCAGUCGAGAAUAGUCUACAAUGGCCGAAAGGCUGAUAGUGCGACGCCGCGUGAACGAAGAAGCCCUUCGGGGUGUAAAGUUCUUUUAUAUGUGAGCAGUGCUUUCUAUGUGAACAGCAUGGGGAGAGAGAUAUUAGCAUAUGAAUAAGCAACGGCUAACUCCGUGCC